AUAUGGCAGUAGUAUCUAUGAAGCGCAGGGAAUGAGCUCUUCCACCAAAUUCGGACGGGACGAUCAGGAGACCGUUUUAUACUGGUUUUGGUCGCGUGCUAAAAGUUCAUAACUGGUAGGGCAACGUCCGUCGUUGGGAAGUUCAAACUGCGUUGUGGCUAGAAGCUAAAAAAGCAUACCCAUCUCGAGUUUAUUUAUUUUCUUGGUAAAGUUAGAGAGCUUUUCGUCUUUUGCUCCACUGGUUUUUAGAGUUCCAGUGGUGGGUUACGCUCAUUAUUGAGUCCGUGGUUGUGGUUGCGGUUUCGGGGCUAACUUCAUGUUUUUUUUUUUUCCAAUAUGCAGUCAGUCUGUCUCAUGUAACAUGGAGUUGGUGAGAAUGAAUGGUUGGAGACGUAAAGUUGGAUCAAUGGCUCAGCGCGAUGUCUUUGAGCCAACGAUAUGGUCAAAAAGGAGUGGAGCCCAGGUUGAGGAGGUAUGUUUAGAUUAGUUAUGCUUUACCUGCAACUCUCAAGGUGUCAUCCUCCCUUCGACAAAACUGCAUCAACUCAGCUCGAAUUUGCGAGGAGUGCAGCAGUGAUAAAUAACAUCAACCGGAUAGCAACUGUGUAGCUAACUAGCACUUUGCAUUUUAUUUACAUGUAGCUCCGUCCCAUACAGUAGAUAUCGCGCGGCCGGAAGAGGGCUUUACUUCGCGCACAAGAUUUUAUCACUUGCCCGAGACAGAAAUUACCUCGAUAGUUACCAGUGCUAAUAGCCAAUAAUAAUAGCUUGG
RNAcentral lists this small RNA (772 nucleotides) under Histoplasma capsulatum var. duboisii H88. RNAcentral describes it as "Histoplasma capsulatum H88 hypothetical RNA". Lineage: Eukaryota; Fungi; Ascomycota; Eurotiomycetes; Onygenales; Ajellomycetaceae. The record is from RNAcentral.